RNAcentral lists this long non-coding RNA (850 nucleotides) under Fukomys damarensis (Damara mole-rat). RNAcentral describes it as "lncRNA (ENSFDAG00000021795.1)". Lineage: Eukaryota; Metazoa; Chordata; Mammalia; Rodentia; Bathyergidae. The record is from RNAcentral.
GUGGUAGACAGGGAGAGAUGGCCCAGGCGGGGCUUAAUCUUUAACCACAGUCCGCUAGCCCUGGGGCUGCACCUUUGUUUGGUUAAGCUCUGUCCUGACGUCUCCAUGGGGAGGGCGGAGUGAAUUGCUUCCUGUUGGCGGGGACAUAGCCUGGGCUCCAAGUCUGCUCGCUCCAGCUCCCUGCAGCCAAGAGCGUCUGGUCCACCGCAAGCUGGGGUGCUUAGUCGUCCUUCAGUUUAAAGGUAAAGGCAGAGUAUGCCCAGCCCAGCCGCAUGUGCACUGUGACCGGACAGCUCGAUCUGGCGUGAAGGAGAAGCGCCAGCCCCGUGCCAAGCUGGAGAACCUGGAACAGGUCCUGAAGGUAGGCUGGCUCCCUGCGCUUGUGACAGGACCGCUGUGGCGUCCAGCAGGAGGAGAGGCUGUGGAUUCCAGAGCAGAAACUAGCCAGGGCCAUUCUGCAGGCUUCAUCAGCCCUCGGGGCUGCUUUUCCCCUUUUGACAGAGUAUAAAAAGCAAUAAAUAACAAAAUUCACGUUUCUGGAAGCAAAUCCCACAGAGCCAGUUAUACAUUUCCUUUCCUGUGGGUGUUAAACACAGCUGAAUGGAGGGGGCUGGCAGCGUCCAGAACAGAAAUUGAGCCAACUCCUGUUAAAGCCCAGGUUGGUGUUGGUGUUGGUUUUCCAAACCUCGUGAAUUUUAAGCUGCUCCUCGGGUGCUUGGUGACCUUGGUUAUAAAGAGAAAGGCACGGUCAGGAAUUGCUUGACCAGAUGCAGGCAAGUGGGUGUUCCUCCCAGACUCUGAAUGAGUCUUUCUCAUUUAAUGGGGGAUUGAGUCGCUGUGGACAUGGGAG